AUCUUGCUUAAGCACGACUAUUUUCUUCUAUGAGAGAAAACAUCGAGAACAAUUGAGAUAUUUGACCAAUCGAGACAAUCGACUUAAACAUCGCAGACUCGCCCAUCACUACAGUCAACUUUGCCCAAUCCACAUGAAGGGAGAUCCCGAUGUUUGCGCCAAUUAUCGCGGAAUAAGUCUUCUUAAUAUUGCAUUUCUGUCGACGAUACUGUGUGAAAGACUGAAGCCAUUCACGAACCUGCUAAUUGGACCAUAUCAGUGCGGCUUCAGACCUGCAGCUUUUGAUAGCACGAAGAGGAGCUGCCUCUACGACGUCAUGUCCAAAUUUGGGAUCCUCGCAAAAUUAAUACGGCUAUGUAGAGUGACGUUGGGCACAACCUUCAGCUCCGUCCGAAUUGGGAAGGACCUUUCAAUCUGAUGCUGGAAAGCAUAAUAAGAGCUGCUAAUAUGAAUCGCAGCGGCACAAUAUAUAGCAAAAGAACGACGCUGCUGGCGUAUGCAGAUGAUAUAGAUAUCGUAGGUCUGAAAUAAAAGGACGUAACCGCAGCAUUUUUCAGUUUAGAAAAAGCAGCUAAAUAGCUUGGUCUAGCAGUGAACGAGGGCAAUACAAAGUACCUCCUUGCAACAUAAAAGAGAAGUAAUAAAUAUUUCCAUUUGUUUAUGAAAAAUUUGUAUAAAAAUUAAAAAAUAUAUACAAAAUAA
Molecule: long non-coding RNA, 702 nt
Organism: Rhagoletis pomonella (apple maggot)
Lineage: Eukaryota; Metazoa; Arthropoda; Insecta; Diptera; Tephritidae
Exons: 2
Source: RefSeq, a predicted model, not a curated record